RNAcentral lists this ribosomal RNA (54 nucleotides) under Melanconis stilbostoma. RNAcentral's name for it is "partial 28S ribosomal RNA". Lineage: Eukaryota; Fungi; Ascomycota; Sordariomycetes; Diaporthales; Melanconidaceae. The record is from RNAcentral.
UUUUGAAAAAUUGACCUCGGAUCAGGUAGGAAUACCCGCUGAACUUAAGCAUAU